This 243-nucleotide long non-coding RNA is filed under the name Elaeis guineensis (African oil palm). Its description in RNAcentral is "long non-coding RNA (EGUI_LNC057149)". Lineage: Eukaryota; Viridiplantae; Streptophyta; Magnoliopsida; Arecales; Arecaceae. The record is from RNAcentral.
GGAGUCGUCCACACGAGCCCACGAAUCUCGAUCAGAAGUCCUGCUUCAGAAAAUCAGCACAGUAUGCUAGUACUGCACUGAUCCUUCUUUGAUGGUUGAUCAGGUGCCUCCUUCUUCUUGAUUUAGACUCUUCCAAAGAUGGAAAGUAGAAGGAGGAGUUUCAGAUCUGAGACACUCUCAGAAAACUCAAGAUGGAGGGAGGAAAGAUAUGAAAACAAACAACCCUAGAAGAAGACCCUCUUC